Molecule: non-coding RNA, 2619 nt
Organism: Heterocephalus glaber (naked mole-rat)
Lineage: Eukaryota; Metazoa; Chordata; Mammalia; Rodentia; Bathyergidae
Source: RefSeq, a predicted model, not a curated record
CGUUAUCUCGGCCGUGCGGCCACCCGCGCCUCCAGGCCGUGCGCGACCGACCGGAACGCGGCGAGCUCCGAGCUCCCGACGGCCAGGCCCGAGCUGCGCCGGACUGGGCCGGGGUGGGCUCGCAGGGACGAGGUUCGGGGACGGGACCCAGUUCCGUGGCGGGCUGCUUUCCUUCCUCAGAGGCCGCGAGGUCAUGGCGGCGGCUCGAGUUCCCUGCUUCCAGUGUGGGUUGGUCAGUUCCUCCACAGCGCUUUUAAACGCCGUGAGACGGUCCCACUCUGCCAGCUGCUCUGUGGCAAGCUGCCCAGCGUUUCACCCGUGUGUUCCCUGCCGCCCGCGCUCGGCGCGGCCUCGACUCAGCCUCCCCGAGGAGGUCCCCUCGGACCGUCGUGGCCCUGGCGUUUGCCAUGCGAGGACAUCGCGUUGCGCUCCUGAGCCGAAACCUGUGCGCGCUCGGCGGCUGAGGCCUUUGGUGCCGCAGGAGGCAGAAACCGGAGCCCCGUGCCCGGCCCCGCAGGGACCGGAAAGGCGAGCAGCCUGCGCUGCCCUCUCCGCCCGCUCGGAACCAGGGUCCCUAGGGUUCGGUCGCUCAGGUUCUGCCCUGAACCAGGCACAGGUCCAUCGGAUCAUUUCCACUUACGAAGUAAACGAUUUGGUUUUUUAAAACUUCAUUUUAAACAUUAGGUAUUUUAAAUCAUCACAAAAUGAAGUUGGAAGACUAAGUUACUGGAGUCAACUUAGAUAACUUGAUACAUUACAUAUUAUCAAUGACAUUUUAAAAACAAAACUGAUUUUUGACUUCGGAAAACCAAGUAAUAAUUGUCAUUUCUAGUUAGAGACUGAAGCAAAUUGUGAAAAAUCAUGUAAAUACCUAGGCUACUUUCUCAAACUACUGUUGUUUUUCUCUUUUUUAAAGACUGCUAAAAAUCGUGAGAUUUGGAAGUAGAAGAUGUUCAGGUUAUGUUUUCAGAAAGAUGCUUGUCAAUCACAGUCAACAAGCUGUGGGUUUCCUGAAUGGAAGUAAAAGCCGCGCAGAGUUAAAAGUCGUCCCAUGUCUUGGGACUGUGCUUCUGGUGGCAGUGCCUCCCCUCUGUGGAUGAAACAUGCCGCGUUGGAUGCAUUCCCGUGAAGCAGGCAUUGUCUCUGCUCCCCGGAGGAUCCUAGCUCUCUGAAAGAGCUCUUUCAGGAAACACCUAGGUUCAACUUCAUGCAGCAGGAGCUCCAGUUGGAUUCACUUGGUACUUCAGUAUGCUGGAAACGAGAAAGCUUCAUUUAUAAUGUAAAGGUACCUAAGAGCCAUCUGACACUUCUAUUCAUGUCAGUAAGAAUGGUUUCUGUCCACACGGGCGUAGAGUCUGCCCGACAGGAUACACUGAUGAUGUCCAUUUCAACAUUAGCAUACGUGGACAUUUGCAGCACUUCCUGUUUUCUUAAUUUUUAACUUUCAAUUUUAAACUUUUAUUAACAAAAGGGGAACUGUACUGGAAUGGAUGGAGCCAAAUGUACCACUGUGUGCAGCUUUGGUAAAGGAAUUUAAAGGAGGUAAAAUAUGUGCGCUUCAUUGUCUCGGUGGCAGAAAGAAGUGAGUCAGGACCUGGUACAAGGAUGUUGCAAGCCCUUCAUUUACUGACUUCUUGCCUCUGUCAGCUGCGGCUCAAAGCACUUCCUGUGUUGACUGAUUUGGCCUGGUGACAGUGGUGUGGGGCAGGUGCUGUGCAGCUGAGAAAAUAGGAGGUUAAGCACUUCCCCAAACUCACCAAGACAGCCUGUUCUCCACACCCCACACCAUCUAGCACCAGACUUCCCAGGGCAGGCAUGAAACAUGUGGGGACCUGCUCAGUGCACCCCAGACCUGCAGAGCCUGAACCUCUGAGCCAGUCCAGCCUGAGUUUUACUAAAGCCACUCAGACUAGAGUUUGAGAAUCCCUGGCAAAAAGGAAGGUGGUGGCAAUGUUAACGAUCUCUUUUCAUGGAUUUUCAUUCUAGAACAAAUGCUGGGAAGUUGCUCUAACAUACAGUAUGUGUGUUCCCAAAGGUGAAGGCUCCAGAUGUGGCGGCCAAGCUGAAGAGACCAUCAGAGAGGCUGAAGGAGAAGCAGGAUGAACAGCAGAAUUACCAGGUUCUGACUCUGACGGUGGCCAGUCUGUGUCUCUUCUUCAUGGUGCUUGCCACACAACCCUCCUGACUGGCAGCAUGAGACCCACGUGGAACACAGCAGAGUGCGGAGUUACGCUGUUCACAGCACGGGUACCAUGCAGACCCUGUGUGCAAGGCUAGUUCCCAGCCAGGCGCUGCUGGGAGGUGGUGGCACCUUUGAGGGUGAGGCCGAGCAGGACAUUAGGUCAUGAAGGACACAUCCUUGAAGGGAGCUCUCAGACCACAGUCUCCUCAUCCUCUUUUUCACAUCCGGCCCUGAGGUGAGAGGCUUUGGUGGACCACACACUCCCACUUCGGUGCGCUGCCUCAGCCUAGGAAACUGCAGGGCAGACAACCACACCUGAAUCUCCAACAUGUGAGUCAGAAGAAACUACUUCUGCAGGGGAAGGGGGAGUUGGGGCGCAGGGCAAAGGAGAGAAGGGGAUGGAAUUCAUAUGAGAAAAUGGAACAGUGGAAACAAAG